AGAGUUUGAUUCUGGCUCAGGACGAACGCUGGUGGCGGGCCUAACACAUGCAAGUCGAACGAGGCUUUCCGGUGCUUGCAUCGGAAAAUCGAGUGGCGAACGGGUGAGUAAUACAUGAGAAACCUGCCUUGGAGACGGGGACAACCUCGGGAAACUGAGGCUAAUACCCGAUAUCCCUGCCGAGUCGCAUGACUUGGCAAGAAAAUACUCAGGUGCUCCAAGAGGGUCUCAUGCCCUAUCAGCUUGUUGGUGAGGUAAAAGCUCACCAAGGCUUAGACGGGUAGCUGGUCUGAGAGGACGAUCAGCCACACUGGGACUGAGACACGGCCCAGACUCCUACGGGAGGCAGCAGUGGGGAAUCUUGCGCAAUGGGCGAAAGCCUGACGCAGCCACGCCACGUGUGGGACGACGGCCCUCGGGUUGUAAACCACUUUCAGCAGGGACGAAAAUGACGGUACCUGCAGAAGAAGCCCCGGCCAACUACGUGCCAGCAGCCGCGGUAACACGUAGGGGGCGAGCGUUGUCCGGAAUUACUGGGCGUAAAGGGCUCGUAGGCGGUUUGGUAAGUCAGAUGUGAAAACUCCAGGCUCAACUUGGAGACGCCAUCUGAUACUGCCAUGACUAGAGUUUGGUAGAGGAGUGCAGAAUUCCCGGUGUAGCGGUGAAAUGCGCAGAUAUCGGGAGGAAUACCAGUCAGCGAAGGCGGCACUCUGGGCCACAACUGACGCUGAGGAGCGAAAGCGUGGGGAGCGAACAGGAUUAGAUACCCUGGUAGUCCACGCCGUAAACGGUGGGCACUAGGUGUGGGACCCUGUCAACGGGUUCCGUACACGUAGCUAACGCGUUAAGUGCCCCGCCUGGGGAGUACGGCCGCAAGGCUAAAACUCAAAGGAAUUGACGGGGGCCCGCACAAGCGGCGGAGCAUGUUGCUUAAUUCGAGGCAACGCGAAGAACCUUACCUGGGCUUGACAUGCUGGGAAAGCCAUAGAGAUAUGGUGU
RNAcentral lists this ribosomal RNA (999 nucleotides) under uncultured Actinomycetes bacterium. RNAcentral describes it as "bacterial SSU rRNA". It matches the Rfam family "Bacterial small subunit ribosomal RNA", at positions 8 to 1014 of the family's 1533-position model. Lineage: Bacteria; Bacillati; Actinomycetota; Actinomycetes. The record is from RNAcentral.